UACGUAGGGACCAAGCGUUGUUCGGAUUUACUGGGCGUAAAGGGCGCGUAGGCGGCGUGGUAAGUCACUUGUGAAAUCUCUGAGCUUAACUCAGAACGGUCAAGUGAUACUGCUGUGCUAGAGUGCGGAAGGGGCAAUCGGAAUUCUUGGUGUAGCGGUGAAAUGCGUAGAUAUCAAGAGGAACACCUGAGGUGAAGACGGGUUGCUGGGCCGACACUGACGCUGAUGCGCGAAAGCCAGGGGAGCAAACGGG
RNAcentral lists this ribosomal RNA (253 nucleotides) under uncultured bacterium. RNAcentral describes it as "partial 16S ribosomal RNA". It matches the Rfam family "Bacterial small subunit ribosomal RNA", at positions 524 to 776 of the family's 1533-position model. The record is from RNAcentral.